GCCAGGAUGGUUUAGUGGUUUGACUGUUGGAUUGUGACUCUUGAGGUCAGGGUUCAAAUCCCAGCUUGACC
Phrynosoma platyrhinos (Desert horned lizard) is the source of this 71-nucleotide non-coding RNA. The record is from the annotation of a GenBank genome assembly. NCBI's taxonomy places the organism in Eukaryota, Metazoa, Chordata, Lepidosauria, Squamata, Phrynosomatidae.